RNAcentral lists this ribosomal RNA (644 nucleotides) under uncultured organism. RNAcentral describes it as "bacterial SSU rRNA". It matches the Rfam family "Bacterial small subunit ribosomal RNA", at positions 773 to 1419 of the family's 1533-position model. The record is from RNAcentral.
CAGGAUUAGAUACCCUGGUAGUCCACGCUGUAAUCGAUGAUCACUCGUUCGUUGGCAAUACACCGUCAGCGACUGAUCGAAAGCAUUAAGUGAUCCACCUGGGGAGUACGACCGCAAGGUUGAAACUCAAAGGAAUUGACGGGGGCCCGCACAAGCGGAGGAACAUGUGGUUUAAUUCGAUGAUACGCGAGGAACCUUACCUGGGCUUAAAUGUAGAACGACGGACCGGGAAACUGGUCUUUCUUCGGACGGUCUGCAAGGUGCUGCAUGGCGGUCGUCAGCUCGUGCCGUGAGGUGUCGGGUUAAGUCCCAUAACGAGCGCAACCCCCAUCAUUAGUUGCCAGCGGCUCACUCGCCGGCGCGACUCUAAUGAAACUGCCGGUCUCCCCCGAGAGGAAGGUGGGGAUGACGUCAAGUCAGCACGGCCAUUAUGUCCAGGGCUACACACGUGUUACAAUGGUCGGUACAAAGGGCAGCUACCUGGCGACAGGAUGCUAAUCUCGAAAACCGAUCUCAGUUCGGAUCGAAGUCUGCAACUCGACUUCGUGAAGCUGGAUUCGCUAGUAAUCGCGCAUCACCCAUGGCGCGCUGAUACGUUCCCGGGCAUUGACACACCGCCCGUCAAGCCAUGGAAGCUGGGGGUA